This 478-nucleotide ribosomal RNA is filed under the name uncultured bacterium. RNAcentral describes it as "partial 16S ribosomal RNA". It matches the Rfam family "Bacterial small subunit ribosomal RNA", at positions 28 to 523 of the family's 1533-position model. The record is from RNAcentral.
GACGAACGCUGGCGGCGUGCUUAACACAUGCAAGUCGAACGGUAAGGCCCUUCGGGGUACACGAGUGGCGGACGGGUGAGUAACACGUGGGUGAUCUGCCCUGCACUUCGGGAUAAGCCUGGGAAACUGGGUCUAAUACCGGAUAGGACCACUGCCUGCAUGGGUGGUGGUGGAAAGCUUUUGCGGUGUGGGAUGGGCCCGCGGCCUAUCAGCUUGUUGGUGGGGUAAUGGCCUACCAAGGCGACGACGGGUAGCCGGCCUGAGAGGGUGACCGGUCACACUGGGACUGAGAUACGGCCCAGACUCCUACGGGAGGCAGCAGUGGGGAAUAUUGCACAAUGGGCGCAAGCCUGAUGCAGCGACGCCGCGUGAGGGAUGACGGCCUUCGGGUUGUAAACCUCUUUCAGCUAUGACGAAGCGCAAGUGACGGUAGUAGCAGAAGAAGGACCGGCCAACUACGCGCCAGCCGCCGCCGUAA